GGCCAAUAACCCUGCAAGAUCCCUGAA
Molecule: non-coding RNA, 27 nt
Filed under: Homo sapiens (human)
Lineage: Eukaryota; Metazoa; Chordata; Mammalia; Primates; Hominidae
Source: RNAcentral